UACGGAGGGUGCAAGCGUUGUUCGGAAUCACUGGGCGUAAAGCGCGUGUAGGCGGUCUUUUAAGUCUGAUGUGAAAGCCCGGGGCUUACCCCCGGAAGUGCAUUGGAAACUGGGAGACUAGAGUACCGGAGAGGAAGGUGGAAUUCCUGGUGUAGCGGUGAAAUGCGUAGAUAUCAGGAGGAACACCGGUGGCGAAGGCGGCCUUCUGGACGGAUACUGACGCUGAGACGCGAAAGCGUGGGGAGCAAACAGG
Molecule: ribosomal RNA, 253 nt
Filed under: uncultured bacterium
Lineage: Bacteria
Description: partial 16S ribosomal RNA
Rfam family: Bacterial small subunit ribosomal RNA
Source: RNAcentral